RNAcentral lists this long non-coding RNA (1201 nucleotides) under Ananas comosus (pineapple). RNAcentral's name for it is "long non-coding RNA (ACOM_LNC032447)". Lineage: Eukaryota; Viridiplantae; Streptophyta; Magnoliopsida; Poales; Bromeliaceae. The record is from RNAcentral.
UUCUUUUAUUUACUCCAAUAUCACUAUAACAAAAACGGUUUAUAGCGACACUUUUAAAUAUCGGUACAUGUUAAAAAAAGUGCUGCUGGCUAAAUUACCGACACUUUUAAAAAGUGUUGCUAUAUGUGGGAUCGCUAGGUAUAUAGUGACAGUUAAAGAGUAUCGCUAUAACCUAAAAAGAGUGCUGCUAAUUUAUCAAUAUUUAUUUAAGCAUUUAGCAACCGCCGGAACUCUAUCUCGUUGGCUGCGGUGGCGAAGGAGGACGAGAGGAAGGGAUCUUCACCUAGAAUUUCAGUCGAUUGAUUGAGGGGAGAAUAAAAAAUGCUAAUCGAUUUUUCUUUUCUUUUUCAUUUAUGUUUGUAAUCGGGUCGAAUGGGUUGGGUUCGGUGAGUUAAGUAGAGUAACCUUUUAUUUUUGGUUGGAUUAGACUUUAUAUUUAUGCAUUAAUAAAUUUUUUUUAAAGUUUUGGCAUAAAUGAAACACUUACACAAAAGUGUUCCAAACAUGUGUCCCUAUAACCUAAUUCUGUUGUAGUGUAUUUCAAAUAGAUUUUUUUUUUUCUUUUUGUCAGAGUCAGAUUAUAUAUCACGCUCUAUACAUUUGUUAUGAAUUAUGAUAUAUAGGAUAAAAGGAUUAUAUAUGUACCUCUGAAAACUUCUGAAAUAUCGUAUAUAUUUUUAUUUUUUUGUUUUAAAUAUAUCUUUAGUAUAUUUCUCUAUUAUUCAAAAAUAACCCUACUUUUAAUACCCGUUAAGUCAUUUCGAGUUAAACCCGAAUUUUUUUCACCAUAGUUAAAAAAUAAUAAAAAUACUAUUUUACCCCUUCCUUAAGUACUGUAAACAAAAAAUGUUGUUAAUGGUAGAAAGGUAUAUUUGGAAAGAUAAAAAGUCAAAAUAUUCUUUUUUCCUAACUUAAAGGUAAAUAGGAAAAAUUAGUGACGAUAGUAGGAUAUAUUUAAAAGGACAAAUAGUAAUUGUGCAAAGAUAACAAUUGUUUCUAUACAUUCACUAACAUAAUUUAACUUUAUAGAGGUACAUUUUAAAUAACUUGAAACGUUAAAAAAAUAUUUUUAAUGUUAACCUUCUAAGAGAAGUAAAUAAAAAAUCAAAAAUUUUUCAAGGGUAUAUAAGCAAUUCCCCCUUUUUCAAAAGGCACCUUUUAAGCUAUUAAUCCCCUCUCCCAAACAAAAACUUUUACUUAC